RNAcentral lists this long non-coding RNA (2427 nucleotides) under Vulpes vulpes (red fox). Its description in RNAcentral is "lncRNA (ENSVVUG00000026145.1)". Lineage: Eukaryota; Metazoa; Chordata; Mammalia; Carnivora; Canidae. The record is from RNAcentral.
AUGCUGGGGCCACCCUGGGUCCCCAGGCAGGUGACCUCACACCCUCCCCACGGGUUCCCCUCAGCUCCUGCCCAGGCCUCCACUAAGGGCCAUGCUCUGCCGGGAGUGCAAGGGCCCUACCUGGUAUUUCCCCGGGUUCCUGGCUUUAACCUUCUCGAUGUCCAGCAAAUGCAACCACACCUGUCCCCGCACCUGGGGAAGGACUCCCUUAUAGGCCCGAUGACGCAGCUGCAGGAAGGAAGGCAGUGCUGCCCUGAAGAAGCCAUCAGGACUGUGGAGGCCCUGGCCUGGGGGGUGUCAGUGAGGAGCACCCCUCUGGCCUCGCCCCAGACCAGAUUGUCCUUCUAUGGAAAGGAAGCCACUGUCCCCGUGCCCUUCGCCCUCUGGAUCCCCUGCUGGACGGACUGGACCCACCCUCUGAAUGCAGGAGGCAGACACCCGGCCCUCCCUGAAGCAGGCCUGGAGGCCACUCCUCUGAGUGCCCAGGGGCCUGCCCCAAGGCCCAGCGCCAUUCCUGCCCACUUCCCGGGUUUGCCUUCUGGGUCCCUCAGUUCCAGCCCAGCAUAGACAUGGCCCUCAGAGGGUUCCAGGGGACAAGAUCCUGACCUGGGGGGAUGGGUCAGCCCCCAGAGAGGCAUUCUUGCAAAUGCAAACCACCCCUGAGAUGGACGAAGGGGUGUCCAGGGGACUCACUGCAGAAAGCCGUGGCCUUCCACAGCGACUGGUCAGCAUCAUCCCAACAGUCCCGUGGAAACCUGCUUGGCGUGCCUGAGACAGACGGGGCCCCGUGGUGGGGGCCGGUCAGAUUUAGGAACAUGGGGAAAAGAGGGAACAGAAUGGCUCCUCUCUCCCCUGAAUCCUGAGGCAGCCCAGGACCCUCUGAGACUGGCCCGGCACGAGAGGAAGGGCCUGUCUGCCCAAUGGGAGCAGCCUGACAGCCUCACCUGCUUCUACCAGCGACGAUCCCCACCUGGGCCUGACCUGACCUGGUGACUGUGGUCCCCACCUGGGCCUCGCUGCUCCUCUGCCCAUGAUCCCCACCUGGGCUCAUCUGCUACCGAUGAUUAUGAUCCAGGCUGGACCCUCACUUGCUACUGAUGCCCAGGAGCGUCCCCAGGGUCUCACGUGUUCCUGAUGACUAUGGUCCUUGUCUGGACUGUCUGGCUCAUCCUUGGCUCUGAUCCCCACCUGCGUCUCACCUGACUCUGAUGCCUCCAGUAUUUUCCUGAGGCUCUGCGCCUCCUGUUUUCAUUUCUGCCUGGGCCUUACCUGCUCAGCUUAGAUUCGGAUCCCUGAUUAGGUCUCACCUAUACUUGCUGGCUAAAACACCCAUCUGGACAUUGGGUGCUUCUGAGGACUAUGAUCUCCACCUGGGCUUUACCUGCUCCUACUGGCAGCAAUUCCCACUUGGGUCUCAUCUGCUGGACUCUGGCUAUGAUCCCCACCUGGCACGUAACUGCUGUUGCUGCUUAUGAUAACAUUUGGGCCAUAUCGGCUCCUACAUACCUGGCUAUGAUCAUCGCCUGGGCCUCACCUGGACCUGGUGACUAUGAUCCCCAUCCCUGGGCUCAUCUACUGCCGAUGAUUAUGAUCCAGGAUGGACCCUCACUUGCUACUGAUGUCCAGGACUGUCCCCAGGGUCUCACUUGUUCUUGAUGAUAUGGUCCUUGUCUGGGCUGACCUGGCUCAUCCUUGACUCUGAUCCCCAACUGGGUCUCACCUAUUUUGCAGGUAUGGUCCCCACCUCUAGUGGGUGUUCUAGCAUCUGUGGUACCUCUCUGGGCCUCACCUGAUGGUAUUUGGCUAUUAUAUCAGCCCUUUCCAAGGCCAGCAGGGUCUCCAGGUCCUCUUGCAUGGUGCUGCAAAGCAAACACAUCCAACUAUGAUACUGCAUGCAAACCUUCAGAGAACACGUGGGUCUGUCUGCUUCCUGUUGGCAGAUCCCCAUCUGUCUGCCCAGAGCAUGGAGACAACCCUACAGCUCUGAGGGGGACAUGCUGGGCUGGCGGAUACACACGGGCACCCCAUUCUCUGUAGCUCGCCCACCUACAGAUCACCCUCCCAGCCACUGUCCCAGGACAUGCUACAUGGCAGUUUUUAGAAAUAGACAAAACAACCCUAACAUUCAUAAGCCGCCACAAAUGACCCUGGAGAGCAAAAACAUUAUUGAUGAAGAACAGAGCUGGACACAGCACUUUCCAUUUCAAAGUAUGUUACAGAGUCACAGAAUUAAAACAGUCUGGUUCUAGGGCACCUGGCUGGCUCAGUUGGUUAAGUGUCUGACUCUUGAUCUCAACUCAGGUUUUUUUUGUCUUGUUCCUGAUCUUAAAAGCAUGCAACUUUGCACCAUGGAGUAUGAUGUUUGCUGUGGGCUUGACAUAUAUGGUCUUUUUUUUUAAUAAUAAAUUUAUUUUUUAUUGGUGUUCA